Long non-coding RNA from Ixodes scapularis (black-legged tick), 227 nucleotides. RefSeq lists it as uncharacterized. The record is from RefSeq and is a predicted model, not a curated record. Lineage: Eukaryota; Metazoa; Arthropoda; Arachnida; Ixodida; Ixodidae. The transcript has 3 exons.
GCCUUCAACGUGCAUCGGUCAAAUGAUUGUUUAGGAAGUCUGUAUGAUGACGAAAAAACUGCAGGUGACUAGAAGCUGCCGAUGAGCUGCCAGUCCGGAUGGCAGCUGUCAACACUGCAAGGGCCUGCAGGCGCAUCAGCUCUCCUCCCGUUCCUCUACUGCCAUUGGAGACAUGAUGCUUUGUAAAAAGUGGGAGCUCAUGAAGGUGGCACUGUGCACAGAGGGAC